CAGCCGAGGGCCCAAUUUCUUAAAGUGAGC
RNAcentral lists this small RNA (30 nucleotides) under Bombyx mori (domestic silkworm). RNAcentral describes it as "ovarian small RNA-13212". Lineage: Eukaryota; Metazoa; Arthropoda; Insecta; Lepidoptera; Bombycidae. The record is from RNAcentral.